GAUUGCCUCAGUAACGGCGAGUGAAGCGGCACAAGCUCAAAUUUGAAAUCUGGCCCUCUCCGGGGUUUGAGUUGUAAUUUGUAGAAGAUGUUUCGGGUGUGGCCCCGGUCUAAGUUCCUUGGAACAGGACGUCAUAGAGGGUGAGAAUCCCGUAUGUGACUGGGUGCCUAUGCCCAUGUGAAACUCUUUCGACGAGUCGAGUUGUUUGGGAAUGCAGCUCAAAAUGGGUGGUAAAUUUCAUCUAAAGCUAAAUAUUGGCCAGAGACCGAUAGCGCACAAGUAGAGUGAUCGAAAGAUGAAAAGCACUUUGGAAAGAGAGUUAAACAGUACGUGAAAUUGUUGAAAGGGAAGCGCUUGCAAUCAGACUUGCGCCUGGGCGAUCAUCCGGGGUUCUCCCCGGUGCACUCGUCCAGGCUCAGGCUAGCAUCGGUUUCUGUGGCUGGAUAAAGGCCUUGGGAAUGUGGCCCCUCUCGAGGGGUGUUAUAGCCCUCGGUGCAAUGCAGCCUACGGGGACCGAGGACCGCGCUUCGGCUAGGAUGCUGGCGUAAUGGUUGUAAGCGACCCGUCUUGAAACACGGACCAAGGAGUCUAACAUCUAUGCGAGUGUUUGGGUGUCAAACCCAUCCGCGUAAUGAAAGUGAACGGAGGUGAGAACCCUCAAGGGUGCAUCAUCGACCGAUCCUGAUGUCUUCGGAUGGAUUUGAGUAAGAGCAUAGCUGUUGGGACCCGAAAGAUGGUGAACUAUGCGUGAAUAGGGUGAAGCCAGAGGAAACUCUGGUGGAGGCUCGCAGCGGUUCUGACGUGCAAAUCGAUCGUCAAAU
This 821-nucleotide ribosomal RNA is filed under the name Chlorencoelia sp. 207. RNAcentral's name for it is "eukaryotic LSU rRNA". It matches the Rfam family "Eukaryotic large subunit ribosomal RNA", at positions 73 to 910 of the family's 3401-position model. Lineage: Eukaryota; Fungi; Ascomycota; Leotiomycetes; Helotiales; Cenangiaceae. The record is from RNAcentral.